GCCUACGGGAGGCAGCAGUGAGGAAUAUUGGUCAAUGGGCGAGAGCCUGAACCAGCCAAGUCGCGUGAUGGAAGACGGUCCUAUGGAUUGUAAACCUCUUUUGCCGGGGAGCAAAAAGCGGUACGUGUACCGCAUCGAGAGUACCCGGAGAAAAAGCAUCGGCUAACUCCGUGCCAGCAGCCGCGGUAAUACGGAGGAUGCGAGCGUUCUCCGGAUUUAUUGGGUUUAAAGGGUGCGCAGGCGGCGAGUUAAGUCAGCGGUAAAAUGU
Molecule: ribosomal RNA, 268 nt
Filed under: uncultured bacterium
Lineage: Bacteria
Description: partial 16S ribosomal RNA
Rfam family: Bacterial small subunit ribosomal RNA
Source: RNAcentral